RNAcentral lists this ribosomal RNA (301 nucleotides) under uncultured bacterium. RNAcentral describes it as "partial 16S ribosomal RNA". It matches the Rfam family "Bacterial small subunit ribosomal RNA", at positions 509 to 807 of the family's 1533-position model. The record is from RNAcentral.
CAGCCGCCGCGGUAAUACGUAGGUGGCAAGCGUUAUCCGGAAUUAUUGGGCGUAAAGCGCGCGUAGGCGGUUUUUUAAGUCUGAUGUGAAAGCCCACGGCUCAACCGUGGAGGGUCAUUGGAAACUGGGAAACUUGAGUGCAGAAGAGGAGAGUGGAAUUCCACGUGUAGCGGUGAAAUGCGUAGAGAUGUGGAGGAACACCAGUGGCGAAGGCGACUCUCUGGUCUGUAACUGACGCUGAGGAGCGAAAGCGUGGGGAGCGAACAGGAUUAGAGACCCGCGUAGUCCCUGUCUCUUAUAC